UCUGUGAAAAGAGAGUCCUGCCAAGGGCUACGAGGCAGAAAACUGAUAUUAUUAAAGUGGUCUUCUGAACGCAACUCUCUGCAAGGUCCUAAGGGUUCUAAGUUGAAUAAGGCCCACUCCCUCCCUUCCAGGACUUUAGCUGAGGUUGGUUGGGGCAGAAGUCGGGCAAGACUCAUCGGAACGGAUUAACAGAGACAGAAUCCAGAGGCAACGGGGUGAAUUCCAAGUAUAGAAAAGACACACUUGGUCUGAGGGUAUGUUUCAGCUCAGGCAUGCUGCCAUCAGGACCACGUAAAGCUGGAUUUUUCUACGCUAGUCCAUUUGCACGAUCUGGACUCAGAAGAGAUUUAAGUUUCAAAUCUGGCUUUGUCAGUUAAUGCUUGUGGGAUCUCAACCACGUCACUGACUUCUCUGAGCAUGCUUCCAUAUUUCUACAAAGGAAACAAUAGGUGACUCUGCUGAGUUGAGCACUUGCGAGUACCAAGCAGUGAGGACCUGAGGCACAGAUGCUAACCAGCUUGCUGGAGAUCACACACUCAUGAGUGGCAGAGUGGGGCUUGGAACCGGGUAGCCUGGCUCUGGAGCCCUCACUCCAUCCACACACCAUGCUGGGACCCAGUCGAGUGACCAGCAGACCGGUUGUGUGGGUUAGGUGGAAUGGUGGAUAUAAACCACACAGCCCAGCUCCUGACCCAUGCUGGGCCCUCAGUAAGUUACUACUUUCAUUAUUAUACAUGCGUAGAUGAAAGUUGGGUGGUAAUAGUGAUUUUCCCUAAGAUGAUGGAACUUUACGUGCCUUUGCCUUUUCUUACCUGUAUAUUCCUGAAAUCAACAGGUUCUACUUUUGUCACAAGAAGAGAGGAAAUAAUUGUACUUUUUUUUUUUUGAGAUGGAGUCUCAAUCUGUCACCCAGGCUGGGGUGCAGUGGCACAAUCUCGGCUCACUGCAACCUCCGCCUCCUGGGUUCACGCCAUUCUCCUGCCUCAGCCUCCCGAGUAGCUGGGACUACAGGCGCCCGCCACCACGCCUGGCUAAUUUUUUGUAUUUUUUAGUAGAGACGGGGUUUCACCAUGUUAGCCCCUUGAUAUGGUUAGGCCUUGUGUCCCCACCCAAAUCUCAUCUUGAAUUAUAAUCCCUGUAAUUCUCAUAAGCUUCACAUGUCAAGGGAGAGACCAGGUGGAGGUAAUUGAAUCAUGGGGGUAGUUCCCCAUGCUGUUCUUGUGAUAGUGAGUUCUCACGAGAUCUGAUGAUUUUAUACGUGUUUGGUAGUUCCUCCUGAAUUCCUUCUCAUUCCUGCCGCCUUCUGAAGAAGGUGCCUUGCUUCCCCUUCACCUUCUGCCGUGAUUGUAACUUUCCUGAGGCCUCCCCAGCCAUGCUGAACUGUGAGUCAAUUAAAACUCUUCCCUUUAUAAAUUUAUAAAUUUAUAAAUUCUUUAUAGCAGUGUGAAACGGGACUAAUACACCCUUCUUGACUUGCUUAUGUGACUUGCUUAUGUGACUUGCUCAUUUCCAGCAUGAGGCAGGAAAGGAUAGAAGCCUUUCAGAGCCUGAGCCAAGUUCCUCCUCACAGAAGCACAGAGGACACUUACUCCAUCUCUGAAAAAGCUGCCCACACCCCACCUCCAUCCAGCCUUCCAAAAGCCACCACGAAUGACCCGUAGGAGGGGCAGAGUGUGCCACUUGCUACGGACCAGAACCUCUGGGGAGCGGGGAUCAUCUCUGUGUCUCUCUGCUUCAACUGCAUUUAAAAUGAACAUUCUUAAUGAUAAACCUUUCCGUGUGUAAAGAAGGGCGUGGAAAAAUGUAUGUACUGGAGACUCGGGUAAUGACUUUCUAAGUGUGGAAAAUUUUCCCCCAAAGUGUUUCCAAAUAUAGAAAAGUCACAUAAUAAAUGAUGAGGGCUCAUAAACCUUUCUGGCAGCAGUUGCAGGGGUCAGAACAAGGAAGAAGGAAUUCCCAGCUCCUAGGGCCUCGCAUCCCACACUGUCUUCUGGGCUACUGUGCAACCAAUGGUUCCGUAUCUGUACGUACCCAGGGGCUCCUUAGAUAAAUAAUUGAAGUGAAAUAUCAAAUGUGUUACUGGUUUUUUAAUGUCAC
Homo sapiens (human) is the source of this 2097-nucleotide long non-coding RNA. Ensembl annotates it as long intergenic non-protein coding RNA 486. The record is from Ensembl. Lineage: Eukaryota; Metazoa; Chordata; Mammalia; Primates; Hominidae.